Molecule: long non-coding RNA, 1655 nt
Organism: Vicia villosa (hairy vetch)
Lineage: Eukaryota; Viridiplantae; Streptophyta; Magnoliopsida; Fabales; Fabaceae
Exons: 5
Source: RefSeq, a predicted model, not a curated record
ACCUAAAAAUGCUUCUUCGGGGAAAGCAAACGACUUAUUCAGAAACGCUUCUUCGGAGAAGCACUUUUUCUCACGCGCAUUGGCUAAGCUUUCUCGGUUUCUCUUGUGCAACACUCUCUCAAACUCAUGUUCUCUCUCUCUCAAUUCUUACACAACAACAACAUUUAUGACGCAGAUUCUCUUGGUCUCGAAUUGGUUGGAUUUGGAUUUCAGAACUGAUUCGAAUUGUUAUCGACUCAGGAUUCGAUUUGCGUUGGGGUUCAGAAUCUGUUUGCGCUCGAAAUUUCAACUCAGAGCAGUUUGAGUUAAAGUUACAGCAAGCAUACGCGAUCAUAAAGUUGGGAAUGGAGGAAUGCUUACCGGUUGAAGCGACGAGGAAAAGAAAAUGCAGCUUUCGAUCUUGCUCACAAGGUAUUCGAUAAAAUGCCUCACCGAAAUCGAUAGAACAAACAACCAGCAAUCAGAUUUAGUUUUCAAUUUUGAAUUGUUUCAAUUUCGGUUUCGCGGUUCUAUUUGAGCUUCACGGUUAUGUUUGGUGUUCGCGAAGGUUUUUGUUCAGAAUCGAGUUGUUACUCAGUUCUCUUUUGGUUCGAGUAGAGUUUUUUCACGGUUCAGAUUUUACAUUCGAGCCAAGUUUUCGGUACAGGUUUGUAUCAAUUUCAAAUCAAGUUUAGUUUCAGUUCAGAAUUUGAUUUAAGUUUUCUGUUCAUAAUCGUUGCGUUUUGGAAUAAAUGCAUUUUUACGGUUUCAACUCAAUUACGGGUUCUACUAAAGUUUGAUUGUGAUUUGAUUUCGGUGCAUAUUUUGGUUUGAAUUAAAAUUAAUGCAGAUUUCAUCCUCGCUCGCAAGGUGUUUGAUGAAAUGUCCCAACCAUAUUUUUUCUUCUUUUUGCUUUAGUUUUAAUUUUCUUAUGCUGUGAUGUUGUGUUGUUGAUGAUUCUGUUCAAAUCACAGAUUGUGAAUUGGUUAUGAUGUUGCCGUUAUUUCCGUCUUGGAUUCCAGAGGUUGUUGAUUCAAUCAAAACUGUUGAAAUCAUUGAAGGAAAUGGGGAAUGAUGUGUGAUUUCAAAUCACACCUCAAACAGUUGCGGUUUGCCGGUGAUCUUCUGAUGGAGUUGGGUGCUGGGGUGGAACUAGCAACUGCUGCAGCACCACAUUUAUUUCUUCCUUUGGCUUGUGCUGCUAAUGUUCUCAAGGUUUGAUGAUUUUAGUUGGUUGUCAUGACCGAAUGUCAGUUCUCUAGGCUAACUAGUUUAUUUAUCCUCUUAGAAUGUUGCUGCUGUAACAUCAACAUAAACUAGGACACCAAUUUAUAAAGCCUUUGCUAAAGGAGAAAACAUAGGGGAUGUCACUGCUAAAGGAGAAUGUGUUGGCAAUAUUGCAGACCUGAAUUAUAGUCUUUCUGAAUAUAUAGCUUAAAGGGAGUAUAUGCCCAUGGACAUCUGUACAACAUCAACAUCUCAGCCAUGUGAAAUUCCUAGCUCAGAUGUGAUAACUUUGGAAGGGCAUACUUCAGAGGGCUUGAUGGUGCUUGUUCAAUAGAAGGUUCAGAAGUCACAGAAAAAUCGGUAAAACCCCUGUUAUGUUAACUGCAGGCGCUUCCCCUUUUUUUUUUUUGAAUUGCAAUGUGUUUGGAUUGAAUACAUAUUCCCUUGAU